GUUCAUAUAAAAGUACCCCUCCUGGUGGUGUCGGGACCAGCAUUGCAUUAGAGACUAUAAUUCAGCAUUCUGCUGUAGAUUUGAAGCCCAUCCGAAAUGAGGGGAACACUAGUGUCCUGAUUUGCUCACGAGGAGGAGGUGGACUAUUGUUAGAACGCAUGGAACUUGUUGCGGAGCUAUGGGAGGAGAAGAUUAAGGCUCAACUUGUCCCUACACCUGAUCCCAGCCUCACAGAGCAGUAUGAAUAUGCUAACGAGCAUGACAUAAAAUGUCUUGUUAUUAUUACAGACUCUGGUGUAUCUAACACAGGUUCAGUGAAGGUUCGACAUCUAGAACUCAAAAAGGAGAAGGAAGUCAAACGCACAUCCAUU
This 371-nucleotide unclassified non-coding RNA is filed under the name Hevea brasiliensis (rubber tree). The record is from RNAcentral. Lineage: Eukaryota; Viridiplantae; Streptophyta; Magnoliopsida; Malpighiales; Euphorbiaceae.